RNAcentral lists this ribosomal RNA (498 nucleotides) under uncultured bacterium. RNAcentral's name for it is "partial 16S ribosomal RNA". It matches the Rfam family "Bacterial small subunit ribosomal RNA", at positions 29 to 523 of the family's 1533-position model. The record is from RNAcentral.
AUUGAACGCUGGCGGCAUGCCUUACACAUGCAAGUCGAACGGUAACGCGGGGCAACCUGGCGACGAGUGGCGAACGGGUGAGUAAUGCAUCGGAACGUGCCUGGUAGUGGGGGAUAACUGCUCGAAAGAGCAGCUAAUACCGCAUACGACCUGAGGGUGAAAGGGGGGGAUCGCAAGACCUCUCGCUAUCAGAGCGGCCGAUGUCGGAUUAGCGAGUUGGUGGGGUAAAGGCCCACCAAGGCAACGAUCCGUAGCUGGUCUGAGAGGACGACCAGCCACACUGGGACGGAGACACGGCCCAGACUCGUACGGGAGGCAGCAGUGGGGAAUUUUGGACAAUGGACGCAAGUCUGAUCCAGCCAUGCCGCGUGCGGGAAGAAGGCCUUCGGGUUGUAAACCGCUUUUGUCAGGGAAGAAAUCUUCUGGGUUAAUACCUCGGGAGGAUGACGGUACCUGAAGAAUAAGCACCGGCUAACCACGUGCCAGCAGCCGCCGUAA